UUAAGUUAGAAAGGGCGCACGGUGGAUGCCUUGACACUAGGAGUCGAUGAAGGACGGGACUAACGCCGAUAUGCUUCGGGGAGCUGUAAGUAAGCUUUGAUCCGAAGAUUUCCGAAUGGGGAAACCCACCAUACGUAAUGGUAUGGUAUCCUUAUCUGAAUACAUAGGGUAAGGAAGACAGACCCAGGGAACUGAAACAUCUAAGUACCUGGAGGAAGAGAAAGCAAAUGCGAUUUCCUGAGUAGCGGCGAGCGAAACGGAACAUAGCCCAAACCAAGAGGCUUGCCUCUUGGGGUUGUAGGACAUUCUAUACGGAGUUACAAAGGAACGAGGUAGACGAAGCGACCUGGAAAGGUCCGUCGUAGAGGGUAACAACCCCGUAGUCGAAACUUCGUUCUCUCUUGAAUGUAUCCUGAGUACGGCGGAACACGUGAAAUUCCGUCGGAAUCUGGGAGGACCAUCUCCCAAGGCUAAAUACUCCCUAGUGAUCGAUAGUGAACCAGUACCGUGAGGGAAAGGUGAAAAGCACCCCGGAAGGGGAGUGAAAGAGAUCCUGAAACCGUGUGCCUACAAAUAGUCAGAGCCCGUUAACGGGUGAUGGCGUGCCUUUUGUAGAAUGAACCGGCGAGUUACGAUCCCGUGCGAGGUUAAGCUGAAGAGGCGGAGCCGCAGCGAAAGCGAGUCUGAAUAGGGCGUUUAGUACGUGGUCGUAGACCCGAAACCAGGUGAUCUACCCAUGUCCAGGGUGAAGUUCAGGUAACACUGAAUGGAGGCCCGAACCCACGCACGUUGAAAAGUGCGGGGAUGAGGUGUGGGUAGCGGAGAAAUUCCAAUCGAACCUGGAGAUAGCUGGUUCUCCCCGAAAUAGCUUUAGGGCUAGCCUUAAGUGUAAGAGUCUUGGAGGUAGAGCACUGAUUGGACUAGGGGUCCUCAUCGGAUUACCGAAUUCAGUCAAACUCCGAAUGCCAAUGACUUAUCCUUAGGAGUCAGACUGCGAGUGAUAAGAUCCGUAGUCAAAAGGGAAACAGCCCAGACCGCCAGUUAAGGUCCCAAAGUGUGUAUUAAGUGGAAAAGGAUGUGGAGUUGCUUAGACAACUAGGAUGUUGGCUUAGAAGCAGCCACCAUUUAAAGAGUGCGUAAUAGCUCACUAGUCGAGUGACUCUGCGCCGAAAAUGUACCGGGGCUAAAUACACCACCGAAGCUGCGGAUUGAUACCAAUGGUAUCAGUGGUAGGGGAGCGUUCUAAGGACAGUGAAGUCAGACCGGAAGGACUGGUGGAGUGCUUAGAAGUGAGAAUGCCGGUAUGAGUAGCGAAAGACGGGUGAGAAUCCCGUCCACCGAAUGCCUAAGGUUUCCUGAGGAAGGCUCGUCCGCUCAGGGUUAGUCAGGACCUAAGCCGAGGCCGACAGGCGUAGGCGAUGGACAACAGGUUGAUAUUCCUGUACCACCUCUUUAUCGUUUGAGCAAUGGAGGGACGCAGAAGGAUAGAAGAAGCGUGCGAUUGGUUGUGCACGUCCAAGCAGUUAGGCUGAUAAGUAGGCAAAUCCGCUUAUCGUAAAGGCUGAGCUGUGAUGGGGAAGCUCCUUAUGGAGCGAAGUCUUUGAUUCCCCGCUGCCAAGAAAAGCUUCUAGCGAGAUAAAAGGUGCCUGUACCGCAAACCGACACAGGUAGGCGAGGAGAGAAUCCUAAGGUGUGCGAGAGAACUCUGGUUAAGGAACUCGGCAAAAUGACCCCGUAACUUCGGGAGAAGGGGUGCUUUCUUAACGGAAAGCCGCAGUGAAUAGGCCCAAGCGACUGUUUAGCAAAAACACAGCUCUCUGCGAAGCCGUAAGGCGAAGUAUAGGGGGUGACACCUGCCCGGUGCUGGAAGGUUAAGGAGAGGGGUUAGCGUAAGCGAAGCUCUGAACUGAAGCCCCAGUAAACGGCGGCCGUAACUAUAACGGUCCUAAGGUAGCGAAAUUCCUUGUCGGGUAAGUUCCGACCCGCACGAAAGGUGUAACGAUUUGGGCACUGUCUCAACCAGAGACUCGGUGAAAUUAUAGUACCUGUGAAGAUGCAGGUUACCCGCGACAGGACGGAAAGACCCCGUGGAGCUUUACUGUAGCCUGAUAUUGAAUUUUGGUACAGUUUGUACAGGAUAGGCGGGAGCCAUUGAAACCGGAGCGCUAGCUUCGGUGGAGGCGCUGGUGGGAUACCGCCCUGACUGUAUUGAAAUUCUAACCUACGGGUCUUAUCGACCCGGGAGACAGUGUCAGGUGGGCAGUUUGACUGGGGCGGUCGCCUCCUAAAGUGUAACGGAGGCGCCCAAAGGUUCCCUCAGAAUGGUUGGAAAUCAUUCGUAGAGUGCAAAGGCAUAAGGGAGCUUGACUGCGAGACCUACAAGUCGAGCAGGGACGAAAGUCGGGCUUAGUGAUCCGGUGGUUCCGCAUGGAAGGGCCAUCGCUCAACGGAUAAAAGCUACCCCGGGGAUAACAGGCUUAUCUCCCCCAAGAGUCCACAUCGACGGGGAGGUUUGGCACCUCGAUGUCGGCUCAUCGCAUCCUGGGGCUGUAGUCGGUCCCAAGGGUUGGGCUGUUCGCCCAUUAAAGCGGUACGCGAGCUGGGUUCAGAACGUCGUGAGACAGUUCGGUCCCUAUCCGUCGUGGGCGUAGGAAAUUUGAGAGGAGCUGUCCUUAGUACGAGAGGACCGGGAUGGACGCACCGCUGGUGUACCAGUUGUUCUGCCAAGGGCAUAGCUGGGUAGCUAUGUGCGGAAGGGAUAAGUGCUGAAAGCAUCUAAGCAUGAAGCCCCCCUCAAGAUGAGAUUUCCCAUAGCGUAAGCUAGUAAGAUCCCUGAAAGAUGAUCAGGUUGAUAGGUUCGAGGUGGAAGCAUGGUGACAUGUGGAGCUGACGAAUACUAAUAGAUCGAGGACUUAACC
RNAcentral lists this ribosomal RNA (2918 nucleotides) under Bacillus cereus. RNAcentral describes it as "bacterial LSU rRNA". It matches the Rfam family "Bacterial large subunit ribosomal RNA". The record is from RNAcentral. Lineage: Bacteria; Bacillati; Bacillota; Bacilli; Caryophanales; Bacillaceae.